GACAAACGCUGGCGGCGUGUAUUAGGCAUGCAAGUCGCACGGACCUUCGGGUCAGUGGCGGACGGGUGAGUAACACGUGAGUAACCUGCCUCGCAGUGGGGAACAACUCGCCGAAAGGCGAGCUAAUACCGCAUACCACUCCCGGUGAGAAUCCGGGCAGUAAAAGUAGUAAUGCGCUGUGAGAGGGGCCCGCGGCCGAUUAGCUUGUUGGUGGGGUAAUGGCCUACCAAGGCGACGAUCGGUAGCUGGUCUGAGAGGAUGGUCAGCCACACGGGGACUGAGAUACGGCCCCGACUCCUACGGGAGGCAGCAGCUAAGAAUCUUGCGCAAUGGGCGAAAGCCUGACGCAGCAACGCCGCGUGGAGGACGAAGGCCCUCGGGUCGUAAACUCCUUUUGUGAGGGAAGAAGAUCUGACGGUACCUCACGAAUAAGCCACGGCUAACUACGUGCCAGCCGCCGCGGUAAU
Molecule: ribosomal RNA, 467 nt
Filed under: uncultured bacterium
Lineage: Bacteria
Description: bacterial SSU rRNA
Rfam family: Bacterial small subunit ribosomal RNA
Source: RNAcentral